Gadus morhua (Atlantic cod) is the source of this 569-nucleotide non-coding RNA. The record is from the annotation of a RefSeq genome assembly. NCBI's taxonomy places the organism in Eukaryota, Metazoa, Chordata, Actinopteri, Gadiformes, Gadidae.
ACUUUUGGUGGAGGCACCAAACUCAUCGUUGACUUGGGAGUGGUGCAGCCCACGCUGAGCGUCCUCCCUCCCUCCAGAGUGGAGCUGGAGCAGGGCAGUGCUACACUAGUGUGUGUGGCCAGUGGGGGCUUCCCCUCAGACUGGAAGCUUGGCUGGAAGGUGGGGGGCAGCAGCAGGUCUGGGGGGGUGUCAGAUAGCCUGGGGGUCCUGGGGAAAGACGGCCACUACAGCUGGAGCAGCGCCUUGACCCUCCCUGCAGACCAGUGGAGGAAGGCGGGCUCAGUGAGCUGUGAGGCCAGUAAGAAUGGCCAGACGCAGCCUGUCACUCAAACCCUGAAUCCUGGAGAGUGUUCAGAGUAGAGAGGCUCCAGCAUGGAGGUACUGGAGGACACAGAUCUCCUCUGACACGUCAGCUUUAUCUCUCUCUGUCCAAGCUGGCACUGUAGCUUUUGUUGAAUUACGUUAAAAUAACACGUGUUUGAUUCAUUAACAUUAUUCUCUCUGGUUUUUACCCCUUGCUUGGAUUUGUCACAUGUUGAACAUUUAAUAAAAACGCAAAAAAUACAAUA